GCGUUUGCUUCAUCUUUGUUGUAAGUGAUGCACUUUUUCAUUUGCAGGUCAACAUCAGUUUGCUUUGCUGGACAAAACCCCAAGGGAAGGUGGCAGCUUAGGCUGUGUUAUAGCCCUGGGGCGAUACAGUGGAGUGGACUGAGGUUUCGCAGUGUGUGCUCUCGGGCAAGGCUGACUGGGUGCUAUGGGAUCGUUCGGCGUACAAUGCAUGCAUUUUGCGUCGUGUCUUUUUCAUACUCGCUCAACUCGGCUCUUCCACACUUAGGAUGUUGACUUAAUGGUUUUAAACGA
RNAcentral lists this ribosomal RNA (291 nucleotides) under Linnemannia elongata. RNAcentral describes it as "Mortierella elongata partial large subunit ribosomal RNA". The record is from RNAcentral. Lineage: Eukaryota; Fungi; Mortierellomycota; Mortierellomycetes; Mortierellales; Mortierellaceae.